Molecule: ribosomal RNA, 433 nt
Filed under: uncultured bacterium
Lineage: Bacteria
Description: partial 16S ribosomal RNA
Rfam family: Bacterial small subunit ribosomal RNA
Source: RNAcentral
AACGAACGCUGGCGGCAUGCCUAACACAUGCAAGUCGAACGAGGCCUUCGGGUCUAGUGGCGCACGGGUGCGUAACGCGUGGGAACCUGCCCUUAGGUUCGGAAUAACUCCCCGAAAGGGGUGCUAAUACCGGAUAAUGUCUUCGGACCAAAGAUUUAUCGCCUUAGGAUGGGCCCGCGUUGGAUUAGCUAGUUGGUAGGGUAAAAGCCUACCAAGGCGACGAUCCAUAGCUGGUCUGAGAGGAUGAGCAGCCACACUGGGACUGAGACACGGCCCAGACUCCUACGGGAGGCAGCAGUGGGGAAUAUUGGACAAUGGGCGAAAGCCUGAUCCAGCAAUGCCGCGUGAGUGAUGAAGGCCUUAGGGUUGUAAAGCUCUUUUACCCGGGAUGAUAAUGACAGUACCGGGAGAAUAAGCUCCGGCUAACUCCGUG